This 329-nucleotide ribosomal RNA is filed under the name uncultured bacterium. Its description in RNAcentral is "bacterial SSU rRNA". It matches the Rfam family "Bacterial small subunit ribosomal RNA", at positions 8 to 334 of the family's 1533-position model. The record is from RNAcentral.
AGGGUUUGAUCCUGGCUCAGGGUGAACGCUGGCGGCGUGCUUAACACAUGCAAGUCGAACGGGAUCCCAGGAGCUUGCUCCUGGGUGAGAGUGGCGAACGGGUGAGUAAUGCGUAUCCAACCUGCCCACCACUUGGGGAUAACCUUGCGAAAGUAAGACUAAUACCCAAUGAUAUCUCUAGAAGACAUCUGAAAGGGAUUAAAGAUUUAUCGGUGAUGGAUGGGGAUGCGUCUGAUUAGCUUGUUGGCGGGGUAACGGCCCACCAAGGCAACGAUCAGUAGGGGUUCUGAGAGGAAGGUCCCCCACAUUGGAACUGAGACACGGUCCAA